Molecule: ribosomal RNA, 447 nt
Filed under: uncultured bacterium
Lineage: Bacteria
Description: bacterial SSU rRNA
Rfam family: Bacterial small subunit ribosomal RNA
Source: RNAcentral
UCGGGAAUUUUGGGCAAUGGGCGAAAGCCUGACCCAGCAACGCCGCGUGAAGGAUGAAGUUUUUCGGAAUGUAAACUUCGUAAGAAUAGGAAGAAUAAAUGACGGUACUAUUUGUAAGGUCCGGCUAACUACGUGCCAGCAGCCGCGGUAAUACGUAGGUGGCAAGCGUUGUCCGGAUUUAUUGGGUUUAAAGGGUGCGUAGGUGGCCCUGUAAGUCAGUGGUGAAAUAUCUCAGCUUAACUGAGAGGGUGCCAUUGAUACUGCAGGGCUUGAGUACAGAUGAGGUAGGCGGAAUUGACGGUGUAGCGGUGAAAUGCAUAGAUAUCGUCAAGAACACCGAUAGCGAAGGCAGCUUACCAAGCUGUAACUGACACUGAGGCACGAAAGUGUGGGGAUCAAACAGGAUUAGAUACCCACGUAGUCCCUGAGCGGGCUGGCAAGGCGCAU